This 436-nucleotide ribosomal RNA is filed under the name uncultured bacterium. Its description in RNAcentral is "bacterial SSU rRNA". It matches the Rfam family "Bacterial small subunit ribosomal RNA", at positions 88 to 507 of the family's 1533-position model. The record is from RNAcentral.
AGGGGAAGUGGCGCGACGGGUGAGUAACACGGUAGGACAACCUCGCCCUCGGAGGUAGGGGAAAUAACCGAACCGGGGAAACCGGUGACUAACUACCGCAUUAUUGUUCUUUGGUAUGCAUGUACUGAAGAUGAAAGCUAUAUGCGCUCGAGGAUGGGCCUGCGGUGGAUUAGGUAGUUGGUAGGGUAACGGCCUACCAAGCUAUCGAUCCAUAGCUGGUCUGAGAGGAUGAUCAGCCACACUGGCACUGAGACACGGGCCAGACUCCUACGGGAGGCAGCAGUGAGGAAUAUUGCGCAAUGGGCGAAAGCCUGACGCAGCCACGCCGCGUGGAGGAUGACACCCCUCUGGGGCGUAAACUCCUUUUAUAUGAGAAGAAACCCUCGUUCGUCGAGGAUUGACGGUAUCAUAUGAAUAAGCACCGGCUAACUCCGUG